GGGCUCACACAAGCGGUGGAGCAUGUGGCUUAAUUCGAGGCAACGCGAAGAACCUUAUCCUGGGUUUGACAUGUACGGAUGGCUCGCCUGAAAGGGAUGAGUCUGCCUUCGGGUGAAACGUACACAGGUGCUGCAUGGCUGUCGUCAGCUCGUGUGGUGACAUGUUGGAUUAAUUUCCCGAACGAGCGAAACCCUGCUAUACUGCAAUAACUUUAUGGAAUUCAGUAUAGACCGCCAGUGAUAGACUGGAGGCAGGAUAGGAUGACGUCAAGUCCUCAUGACCCUUAUGAACUGGGCUACACACGUGUUACAAUGGUGUAAACAAAACGUAGCAAUGAUGAAAAUCGGAGCCAAUCGCCAAAUUACACCUCAGUACGGAUUGGUGUCUGCAACUCGACUCCAUGAAGCCGGAAUCACUAGUAA
Molecule: ribosomal RNA, 423 nt
Filed under: uncultured bacterium
Lineage: Bacteria
Description: bacterial SSU rRNA
Rfam family: Bacterial small subunit ribosomal RNA
Source: RNAcentral